GACGAACGCUGGCGGCGUGCUUAACACAUGCAAGUCGAACGGAAAGGCCCUGCUUUUGUGGGGUGCUCGAGUGGCGAACGGGUGAGUAACACGUGAGUAACCUGCCCUUGACUUUGGGAUAACUUCAGGAAACUGGGGCUAAUACCGGAUAGGAGCUCCUGCUGCAUGGUGGGGGUUGGAAAGUUUCGGUGGUUGGGGUUGGACUCGCGGCUUAUCAGCUUGUUGGUGGGGUAGUGGCUUACCAAGGCUUUGACGGGUAGCCGUCCUGAGAGGGUGACCGGCCACAUUGGGACUGAGAUACGGCCCAGACUCCUACGGGAGGCAGCAGUGGGGAAUAUUGCACGAUGGGCGGAAGCCUGAUGCAGCAACGCCGCGUGCGGGAUGACGGCCUUCGGGUUGUAAACCGCUUUCGCCUGUGACGAAGCGUGAGUGACGGUAAUGGGUAAAGAAGCACCGGCUAACUACGUG
This 468-nucleotide ribosomal RNA is filed under the name uncultured bacterium. RNAcentral describes it as "partial 16S ribosomal RNA". It matches the Rfam family "Bacterial small subunit ribosomal RNA", at positions 28 to 507 of the family's 1533-position model. The record is from RNAcentral.